RNAcentral lists this ribosomal RNA (505 nucleotides) under uncultured bacterium. Its description in RNAcentral is "bacterial SSU rRNA". It matches the Rfam family "Bacterial small subunit ribosomal RNA", at positions 28 to 527 of the family's 1533-position model. The record is from RNAcentral.
GAUGAACGCUAGCGGCAGGCUUAACACAUGCAAGUCGAACGGCAGCACAGGUAGCAAUACUGGGUGGCGAGUGGCGCACGGGUGCGUAACGCGUAUGCAACUUACCCAUAACUGGGGAAUAGCCUUCCGAAAGGAAGAAUAAUACCCCAUAACAUUUCGAUGUGGCAUCACAUUGUUCUUAAAGCUUCGGCGGUUAUGGAUGGGCAUGCGUUCUAUUAGUUUGUUGGUGAGGUAACGGCUCACCAAGACUACGAUAGAUAGGGGGCCUGAGAGGGUUAUCCCCCACACUGGUACUGAGACACGGGCCCGACUCCUACGGGAGGCAGCAGUAAGGAAUAUUGGUCAAUGGACGAAAGUCUGAACCAGCCAUGCCGCGUGAAGGAUUAAGGCCCUCUGGGUUGUAAACUUCUUUUAUCUGGGACGAAAAAGGGUAUUACUUACUCACUUGACGGUACCAGAGGAAUAAGCACCGGCUAACUCCGUGCCAGCAGCCGCGGUAAAGUCU